This 5431-nucleotide long non-coding RNA is filed under the name Vigna radiata. Its description in RNAcentral is "long non-coding RNA (VRAD_LNC009470)". The record is from RNAcentral. Lineage: Eukaryota; Viridiplantae; Streptophyta; Magnoliopsida; Fabales; Fabaceae.
AAUAUUUGCUGAUGUAGUCUUGUAAUUUGCAUUUACUUAAGCAAUAAUUCAAUUAUGCAGACUCGUGAAUUUUUUUUUUUUUUUCUUGAUGAAACAUUGAUUGUGCAUUGUAGGCACAGAAAGCAGAAAGGGAGGCCUCAGAUCUGAAAGGGACUAUGAGGAAAAGAAUGGAAUUCCUUGACUUUGACUAGUCAACCCUGAUUCAUCCUUCACCUUCCCCGUCCGCAAAUAUUAUAGCGGCUGUUCUUCAUAUAUUUUGCUUUCUUUUUCUCUGCUAUUGUUGCCUUUCAUGGGAGGGUUCAAUACUCUUGAAUUUUGUUCUGUAAUAUUAGCCUCAGGAAUCAUUACUAUCAUUCAUUUGCUUUCAAAAAAUUCUCAAUUAAUAUCGGCUCCUCUAAUGGAUGCAUAUUAAAAUUAAAAUAUUAAAAUUAAAAUAUUAAAAUAUAAAUACAUUUGCAAUCACUAAGUAAAACAUUAAAAAUACACUCAGUUCCUUUUCUGUGUAAAAAAUUGUGUUAAAUCAACUCUAAAAAAAUAAAUACCAUUUUGAAUUAAAUGACAAAUAUGAGUUUGAUGCAAACUGAUAUAGUCCCGAGCAGUUCUAGUUGGAUGUUGAGUAUAACAUUCCAAAUUUUAGAUGUCACGAAAAUGUAAUAAAUAACUUUUUUCAAAAAUAAAAUCAUUACUAUGUCGAUUAAUGUAAUACAUAUUAUAAAAUAAUAUAAGGUAUUAUAUGAAUUGAGUUUCAUAAUUAUCAUCAUAUAAGGCUUAUGAGCAAAACUAUGAUGCUUCCAUUAGUAUUAUGUUCAAUUUUAGUCAGAACUCUAUAGGUAAGAUAUCUAUCCUUUUCUGCCUGUUUCAAAGAGGAAAGUGCAACAUUCGAAUUCUAACCCUUUUUAUCGUUUUUCAUGGAUGAAGAGAUCCAUCUCUUUCAUCGUCUCUUAAAAAUGAAGAGUUUGUUGUAAACCUGAUAUAGCGAUGAGCGACACUAAUAAGUCAUUGAAUGCAAGUUUGAUUGUGUAAGUUUGGAAAUAUUUUGGCUUCAGAUCUCUAAGUGUCCCUUUUCACCACUAAGCGUCCAAUUUUGCAAAUGCUUUGACACUGAGUGAUAGUAGGACACUAUUGAACGCCAUCUUGUAUUAUAAGUAUGAAACAGUUUAAUUCUAGGUCGUUGAGCGACAGAAGAGUGUUGUUGAACACCCGACUUUUUGAGAGAAGAAUGGCAUUAAGCGCCAUCUUUCACGAGAAGUCUGAUGCUCAAGUGGCACCUCUAAGCAAUGCUUGAUUUGUCCUUCACUUUUUGGAUAUUUGACAAUGAUUUAAAUGAACUUUAAGUAUGUUUGUAAGAAUUGUGACUACGUGUGUGAAAAUGAUGAUUUUGUUAUUGAAAUGUUUGAAAAUGUUGUUGAGAGAUUUUUUUCUAAAUGGUAGUGGUGUUUAGUGUAUGUUUUGACUAAUGAGAGUUUAGAAAGGAGGUAUCAUGAUAUUUUAUCGACUAUUAAACUCAUAUAAAGAGAAACGGUAGGGGAAGAGAAUGGUAAGAGGUCAUAACCACUCAACUAUUUAGUCCUAGGCAUAAAUGGGACUAACUUGUGAAUAGUAGGGUGAUAACCCCAGUGAUUAAGACAUGUAGAAAAUAUAAAUAUUAGUACAAGUACACGCCUAGAAUGAAACUUUAUAUCAAUGACAUGUAUCCAGUUUAGAUAAUUGAGUAUAGUAUCAUAUAUUUAUAUGCGUGUUUCUAUGAAUUAUUAUUUCAUCAAUGUUUAUAUGUGAUGUGAUUUAUUGUCUUCGGUACUUUUUUUUUUUUUGUUGCACACUAGUUUUUAUCAUGCUUUCUCUUAUUUUUAUGUUUUGUUGUUUUUUUUGGUGAUGAUUACCUCUUUGUGUGAGAGAUAAUGAGUUAAAUGUUAUACGCAUUCGGUGGAAGAUAAUGAUAGUUAUAUAGUUUCUACUAGAUGUUUUGUAUAGAAGUUUUCUUUCUUUUUUAAAAAUUCUAAUAUAUAUGGUUUUUAAUCAUAUGUUGUAUAUUAUCAAACUUUUUUUAAUGAUUUAUUUGUAGUUUUGCAUUAUCAUCAGAAUGAAGGUCACGGUGGAAAUAAAACCUACACCACGAGUAUGUGUUUAAUAUUUUUAUUAUAGUUAUAAAAGUAAAUUAAAAUAAUUUCACUAUUUUACAUCAUGUUUUUAGAUAUUUUCUCAGUAGUUAUUUUAGUUUAAAAGAAUAGUUAAAUUUUAAGAAAAAAUAUUUAGAAAAAAUUAUCACUUAAAAAUAAAAUAUUUACUUUGAUUAAAAAAUAGUUAAAAGAUAAAUUUGAAAAUAAAAUAUGUAUAUCAAAAGAAAAUCUCUUUACAUAUUAAUAUAAGUUUAUUGUAAAAUAAUUAAAUUACUUCGAUAAAAAUACUAAACAUAAAAAAUGAUUUAUAGAUUCUUAUAGAAAAUAAAUUAAAAAAAAAGAAUUCUAACAUGUACAAGGAAGGCAGUAAAUGAAAGAAAGUCGUUCCAAAGAAAAUAAUAUUCAGUUUUAUAAGAAUUUUCCGCGUAGAUUACUUUUAUAAUAUAAAGGCAAAUAAAAAUGUAUUGUAAAUAAAUAUUUAAACUCUUUUAGAAAUAAAAGUAAAUUCUAUUGUAAAUAAAUGCAUACAAAACUCUGCACUAAACCAUUUUAGAAAUCUUUUUUCUUCCCAUAAUUUCAAUAAGAAUGAAUUUUAACGAAAACGCAGUAUUGUUUUGAUUCAACAAACCUUCUGAAUCUAUCCCAAAAUCACAGUCUCGAAACCCUAGAAGAUCAAGCUCCCCUUUUUCUUUCUCUCGUUUCCCUUUCAAAAAAGGCUCCCUUUCCACUCCUAGUCGGCGAUUGGAUCUCUGGGCUUUCUUUCUUUCAGCGAUUUCGAUCUUAAACCCGAGGCUUUGAACUUGUGAAUUCAGAUUGAAGCGAUUGGGGGUGAAAAGAUUUGAGUUGGCGCUGGCAAUGCCAUUAUUGUGGUUAGUGAGGAGCUAUUCGGUGAUUUUUGAGAUACCGAAAACGCAAAAUGUCUUGGGCAGGCCCUGAGGAUAUUUACCUUUCCACUUCACUUGCUAGCUAUCUUGACAGUGAGCACUAUUCUUUUUUUUUUCCUCUCAUGUUGAUACACGCUUCAAAUUUAAUAAUUUAUGUGAAAGAUUGCAUUCUUGACAUAGUUAUGCCCAGCCUUUCUUUUUGGUUCUUGCUUUCAUCGUGUAAUGUGUAAAGGGUAAAUUUUUAAUGGCAAAAAGUUGUGGACUUGGUUCGAAACGAGUUGUUUAUGGAGGGGGAGUUCUUUUUUAGUAUUCAACUUUGUCUUGUAUUUUUGUGGAAAGUGAGGGUUCAAUUUUCAUUGAGAGUUUUAGGUUGGACUUGACUAUUGUUUUGGACAUUACGAGGCUGCAGGGGAAAGGGAAGGGUCAUGAUUUUGACUGAUAGAUUCCUAUUGUGCAUGUUUGUUACGAGCUAUGUAUACCAAAGCAAGAAAAAAAAAAUCAUUCUUCCAAAAUGUUAUUAGGGAAGAAGGAAUUUCAGGUACUACAAAUUAAAUUAGUUCUAUGUUUGUGUGGACAAUAUUGCUAUAGUCGCCCAUGUAAAAGUGAGCGCAUGAGAAUAUGCUAUUUUACGAUCACCUAUUGAUGUUAGGACAAUAUUGCUUUUGAAUUGUAAUUUGUGUGAUUGAAUAGUUUUGACGUCACAUUGCUUUUGCUUUUGAAUUGUAACUUGUGUGAUUGAAUAGUUUUCAUGUCACAUUGCUUUUGGUAUAUUUAGUAUAUUAGGCUUUCUGAAAGGGAUUUUGGCUAGAUAUUGUUCAAAAGCAAUGUAACCCAUUGAAUGUGGUAAAUUAAUCUUGGUUUUUCUUGUAGGUGAGGCUGAUUUUGUAUUGUGUACUAAUUUGUAUGGUCUGACAAUAAUUGUUGUUGUAGAGAAACUUCUUGUAUUACUGAGAGAUGGCAGAAAGCUCAUGGGGAUACUUCGCUCUUUUGAUCAAUUUGGUACCAACUUGACCUUAAAUUACGUAUAGUUUUGACAGGCAAUAGUUUGACUUUGUAAAAUUUCACAUCAAUAAUUGCAGCUAAUGCAGUUCUUGAGGGUGCCUGUGAGAGGGUUAUUGUUGGUGAUCUGUAUUGUGACAUCCCUUUGGGUCUCUAUGUAAUCCGUGGAGAAAAUGUUGUUCUAAUCGGUGAGCUGGUAAGGUUACUGAUUGCUUCCCUUUGCAUCUAAAAGUAUUUUCUAAUUUUCCGUCUUAUUUAACAUGUCUUUCAACAUUUAGGACUUGGAGAGGGAGGAACUUCCUGAACACAUGACUCGUGUUUCUACAGCAGAAAUCAAGAGGGUAAAUAUUCUUAAAUUUUUUCUAUAAUUACUUUAUUUUCUUUGUGUGAUUUUCUGUCUCCUUAUCUCCCCUUAGUUGUCUAAAGAUAACAGUAUGCUGUGACUCUGUCAAUGUUUCAUUGCUUUCCUACUUUUCUUUACAAAGCUUUAUUGCAUGAGGAUUAUACUAAAGUGUGUAGGAAUGAACAUAUUUUAUAUUUUGUUUCUAACAUCUUCUAAUGAUUUGAUAAGUAACUGUGUGCUGGGGAAAUAAUGGCAAACUAUUUUGAUGAUGAGCAAGAAGUGGACAUACUAAGUACUCAUUUGAAUGGGCCUAUAUUAAAUACUUAUGAACCCUACCUACCUAAUUCUAUCCCAUUGAGUUAAUAACGAAUUCCUCAACACUGUCAUUUAUUUUUUUUUCUGUAUGUUGAGAUAUACUCUUCCAUGCUCCAAUCAACCAUAUCCUGGGUUUGAUUUUGAAGCCAGUGUUAAUGAUAAAAUCAUAUUUAGCUAUUGUAUGUAUUCUCUGUGAACAAAAGUAAUCUCAUUACUAUAAUUAUACAGAAAGAUGUUCUAAAAGUUUGAUGAUCUGUUUAUAAACCCGACAUAGUACCCCAAUGGGAUUAAAAUCCCAAAACUAUAUAUUUGGGUUUAUUGGCCUUUUGUUAUGAUUUGGAAAUAGUUGCUGGUUUAGUCCUAUUAUUUGCAUUUAUUUAAGCAAUAACUCAAUUAUGCAGACUGUGAAAUUUUGUUCUUUUUUAAUGGAACUUCGAUUGUGCAUUGUAGGCACAGAAAGCAGAAAGGGAGGCCUCAGAUCUGAAAGGGACAAUGAGGAAAAGAAUGGAAUUCCUUGACUUUGACUAGUCAACCCUGAUUCAUCCUUCACCUUCCCCAUCCGCAAAUAUUAUAGCGGCUGUUCUUCAUAUAUUUUGCUUUCUUUUUCUCUGCUAUUGUUGUCUUUCAUGGGAGGGUUCAAUACUCUUGAAUUUUUUUCUGUAAUAUUAGCCUCAGGAAUCAUUACUAUCAUUCAUUUGCUUUCAAAAAAUUCUCAAUUAAUAUAAGCAUGAUUUCAAUUCCUUACCAUUUUCUAGAUUUGGGUUGAAAGGCUU